This is a non-coding RNA of Struthio camelus australis, 3195 nucleotides long. NCBI's taxonomy places the organism in Eukaryota, Metazoa, Chordata, Aves, Struthioniformes, Struthionidae. The record is from RefSeq and is a predicted model, not a curated record.
CAAAGACCUCAGACUGUACUUAACUGCAGGGUGGAUGGACAGGACCUGGGUACAGCUAUGCAUGCUCAGCAUCAGCCUCUACCUACUGUGAAAGAUCUCACUGUGACAUCCCCACAGGGAAGAUAUGAAAAAGAUAGUAGUUCUUAAAAUGCCUGAUAUUGCAAUGCAGUAUGUGAUUACAGGAGAGACAAGGCGGGUUAGCCUAGGCUAUUGUGAGAAGAGUGUUGACAUGUCACCCCUGCCUUGGACCCUUCAGGGAAUCAGACGGAGAGCUGGUCCAGAUGCUAUGCCUUUGGCUCUUCACAAACUUGGACUACAAAAAAUGAGUGGAUCCUGAAGCACUCUCAGAACAGGGACUAGGAAGUGGAUCGACACUAAAACUCGCUGUGAGCAACAAAGUUGGAAAGUUGUCUGAAGCAGGAAUUAUUCUAUAAACUGAGGCACUACUUCCCUUCACAUCCCACCAAGGAAAGAAGCGUAUCCAUGCCUUUCUCUGGGGUUUGUAGACACGAAAUGGUGGCUCUGCGAGGGACUGCUGCUCUCAUUUCCUGAACAGACCAAGAAAGCAGACGAACGCCGUGAUUGUUAGGACGUUGUAUAUAUUUAUUCGUUGGCCUAUGAUUCUAACUGCCGUAUGUUUUACUACUAUAAAUACAGAAUCCUUCGCCUACCCUGAAAAUUACACAUAUGCACCCAUUUAAGUUACAGUUACAGUCAAGUGUAGCACUAAGGAUAUUCUUCUGCUUUUCUUUUAUUUCAUAAGUCUUUAUUGUGCUCUCUAACUGUCAAACACUAUUUGAAAAACUGUUGCUACAGGCAUGAACGUUUCCUUCGGUCUCCAUUAGUAAGUAAUCUGCUUCCUAUUUCACAUUUUUCACUUAAAAGGUGAUGGUGUUUCACCCCGUGGUGAACUUCUACGUGCUUCCCCUGGUUAACAAGAUGAGAACUAAGUAAACCAGCCAGAUGAAUCUAAAAUAUUUUAUUUUGUACCUAUUUGUGUUUACGGUUUGCUGAUUUUUUGGCAGAAGAAGGAGCUGUUUCUGCUAUCAUAAUUUGCAAUAUUGAUUCAGAAUUUAACACCUCUGUUCAUCUCCAGGUUCCAUACGAUCAUUUUCCCCAUUAGCCUAUACAGAAAGAACUUAAACAUGAACUUUCACAACUUUCACUGGGUUGUAACAAAUGGUAAGAAAGAUUUUAAUUUAGAAUGUACAAUCAUGUUCACUUUAACCUAUUAUCUCUUCUAGGUCCUUAUUUAUGAGAGCCUCUCUUUUGAGCCUGAAUUUCUCAAGAUUUUUUUUCUAGCGUGACUUACUUUUCUGUUCACUAUGUAGAAGAACUCAUAAGCAACUUUUUAGGACAGGGUAAUAGAAAAAUGCACAUUGUUCUUCAUUAGUGAAUGGCUGCACCUUGCUAAGGGCAAAAUAAAGACCUUUUCUGCAUGGCAGGUUAAAAGUGCAAGGAGGAGUAGGCCACGCUGUUCCUUUUUGAAGCUCGGGAGUUAUUAUCACUUCCUCUACACAGGGAGGAGUGAGCUCCGGGGAGCGACUAGGAAUUCGUUUUGUGCAGACAAGUGGUGAGAGAUGGAUGAAGAUGAAGAAUGAGCAGAAGCAUAAUUCACCAGCGUACCUGAUGGCAUAAUGACAUUGAUGUUUCUCAGCUCAGAUACCACCCCAGGUGCAGAUAUGUGUCUCUCUAUUUCUGUCCAGUGCAAAGGAGAGACUGGGGGGACAUUAUGACUUUUUAAGUCACUAUCUCUCUGGCAGGUUGCUUUGGAGGCAAUGCAAUUACAUGCUCUUCCUCCUAUGGGCUUGACAGCAAACUGACACUCCCACCCUAAGCUAGAAAAGUGAUCAGUUAAGGAUGACGCUGUUGCAUAAGCAGUUAAGCCAGUUUUGUGUUUUGUCAGCCCUAUGGUGCUGAUCUGCUUCACCUCUGCUGAAGUGGAGACCAUGGCUAAUGCUACCCCUUUCAAAUUAUCACUGUGCAGAUGACAGAUACCUACGACUUCCAGUAAGGUGUAAACUUUCUCCUUCAUGCAGAAGUAUUUUGUUCUUUCCAAGUGUGGCAGAUAAAAAUGUAGUCUGAAUAACAAACGCAAAGCUGUUGGCAAUUUUAGGCUGAAUUUCAGAUUGUCUUAGAAGAUUUUAAGUGUUCCUCAUGGGUCUGACCUUGUAUUCCUUACCCCUGUAAAUCUUUUUCUCUUAAUGCAUCCAUGUGCAACUAUGCCUAAGGACAAUUCACAUGAACAAGAGGUGUAGGACCGAGACUGAAUUUUUUGUGACGCAAUGCAAUGUUGCCAGUAGGCCACAUCCGCAUAUAUAAGAAAUGGAAAAUCCUAAUGUAUACUGAGCACUGAAAUUUCAAAUCAACAAAUCCAGAUAAGUUCAGUUCUCAGUCACCUGUACAAUAUGCACUCCUGCUGAUGUUAUUCAGAACAUACAUUUUAUUGCCUUGCAGACACCUGAAAUGAAUUCAGUUUUCAGCAACUUCAGGCGUUAGUAUGGUAUAAUGGCUUAGUAUUAUAACACUAAGCUGAAAUAUUCUGAUAUUGACUAUCACCAUAUUGACUGACAAAACUGAACUUUAUCUUUUUUGUUUUGUUUAAAAAUUAAAGCUGUCUUCUUGUUUUCCUCUCUGCAUACACUACCUGUGUGCUGAAGAAUAUAUACUUUGAAAAUUGUCUGAGCAUUUCAACACAAAAAAGAUUGCUGUUGGCUCCUAUAUGGCAUGAUUAAAUGUAGGACUAAAAAGCCAGAACUGUAAGCCACACGGAAGGGGUUUCAUACCACUUCUUUAUCUAUAAUACAAGGUAUUUCUUCUGUCUUUGGUGUCUGGACAUGAUAAGAAAGUGGUCUGGAAAUACAAUUUUAACAUGGUUUAAAUGUAUUUCAACAAACCACAGAAUUGUUUGAAUAUGUGAUUUAUUUUGCUGCAAAUCACUAAUAUUAAUAAAUAGAUACCUUCAAAUGUGUCAGGAAUACAGAGGCAUGGGCACCUUUUGGAAAUAAGGCACAAGUGCUAUUCUUGCAUUGUAACUCCUGGAAUAUCAGUCGUGAGUGAUACAAGAUAUGAUUGUCAAAGAGUAAAUACUGAGUCAUGUAGGUGGGUUUUUAUUUGUAGAAAAAUUAAAAGCUAAGAGUAAAAAUACUCAUAUGUAUAUCAAAAGCCAUUGAUAAAUGUGGAAGUUUCACUUGU